RNAcentral lists this unclassified non-coding RNA (175 nucleotides) under Jannaschia rubra. RNAcentral describes it as "caulobacter sRNA CC2171". The record is from RNAcentral. Lineage: Bacteria; Pseudomonadati; Pseudomonadota; Alphaproteobacteria; Rhodobacterales; Roseobacteraceae.
AACCCAUUGAAAGGAGGUGAUCCAGUGUCAAGAAAGAUGGUGGAGAAUGCGGUCGGGACAACUUCGGGUGUCCACGUCUGAGGCAGCCCUUGGACGUUCUCAUCCGGGGUGGAUGCGUCUAACCGACCCCGCCUCCUGAACCUUUCGGAAGGCCGCUCCACACUAGGGGCGGCCU